RNAcentral lists this long non-coding RNA (573 nucleotides) under Polistes fuscatus (common paper wasp). Its description in RNAcentral is "uncharacterized LOC122524861". Lineage: Eukaryota; Metazoa; Arthropoda; Insecta; Hymenoptera; Vespidae. The record is from RNAcentral.
AAAAAGGAAAGAAAGAAGACUAAAAGCCGAGAGAGAGAGAGAGAGAGAGAGAAGAAGGGAAGAAAAAAAGAGCGACCGAUAAACAAACUCCAGAGGAUCGCGGCACUUUAAUCUCCCUUUCGGAGGCAUCAGCCGCCCUUUGCGGCACGGAAUGAAAAAGGGGCCGUGUGGUGGUGGGGGUGUCCUCUCCCCACCAGGACUCAUUAUAGCAACAUGCGCCUCUAUAAAAAGUAGUUGGAAAAAAAAGAAGAGAGAGAGAGAGAGAGAAUGAGAUAGAAAGGAGAAAGAGAGUGGAACGCGGAACAGCAACGUUGAAAGCAAGCGGACAGUGAUGGAACAAGGACGGUCGGAAGGAGCAUCCCUUAUUUCGUGGCUGCUUGUUGCACGGCUCGACGCAUUCGAAUGGUCUCACUCCUCUUUUCUGAUCCGGGCGGUUCCAGGUGGUUGCUGACCCCUCCUCUCAAAAAUUAGCUGUACCCCCUGAUCUAGCGGCUCUUACACAGCUGCGACCAGGUCGAUUCGAUGCAUCAAUGCGUCUAAAUAUAUGUAUGUACUUAGGUAUAUACCUAUCUA